ACCUGGCUGGCUCAGUUGGUGGAGCAUGUGACUCUUGAUCUCAGGGUGGUGAGUUCGAGCCCCACAAUGGGUA
Molecule: transfer RNA, 73 nt
Filed under: Felis catus (domestic cat)
Lineage: Eukaryota; Metazoa; Chordata; Mammalia; Carnivora; Felidae
Also listed under: 4 other names
Rfam family: tRNA
About the family: Transfer RNA (tRNA) molecules are approximately 80 nucleotides in length. Their secondary structure includes four short double-helical elements and three loops (D, anti-codon, and T loops). Further hydrogen bonds mediate the characteristic L-shaped molecular structure. tRNAs have two regions of fundamental functional importance: the anti-codon, which is responsible for specific mRNA codon recognition, and the 3' end, to which the tRNAs corresponding amino acid is attached (by aminoacyl-tRNA synthetases). tRNAs cope with the degeneracy of the genetic code in two manners: having more than one tRNA (with a specific anti-codon) for a particular amino acid; and 'wobble' base-pairing, i.e. permitting non-standard base-pairing at the 3rd anti-codon position.
Source: Rfam by way of RNAcentral